RNAcentral lists this ribosomal RNA (254 nucleotides) under uncultured bacterium. RNAcentral describes it as "partial 16S ribosomal RNA". It matches the Rfam family "Bacterial small subunit ribosomal RNA", at positions 524 to 776 of the family's 1533-position model. The record is from RNAcentral.
UACGUAGGGGGCAAGCGUUGUCCGGAAUUAUUGGGCGUAAAGAGCGCGUAGGCGGUCCGAUAAGUCGGCUGUGAAAGUCAGGGGCUCAACCCUUGAAAGCCGGCCGAUACUGUCGGACUAGAGUCCGGAAGAGGCAAGUGGAAUUCCCGGUGUAGCGGUGAAAUGCGCAGAUAUCAGGAGGAACACCGGUGGCGAAGGCGGAUCUCUGGGGCCAUUACUGACGCUGAGGAGCGAAAGCGUGGGGAGCGAACAGG